GAUGAACGCUGGCGGCGUGCCUAAUACAUGCAAGUCGAACGCUGAAGGAAGGAGCUUGCUCUUUCCGGAUGAGUUGCGAACGGGUGAGUAACGCGUAGGUAACCUGCCUGGUAGCGGGGGAUAACUAUUGGAAACGAUAGCUAAUACCGCAUAACAGUAGAUGUUGCAUGAUAUCUACUUAAAAGGUGCAAUUGCACCACUACCAGAUGGACCUGCGUUGUAUUAGCUAGUUGGUGAGGUAACGGCCCACCAAGGCGACGAUACAUAGCCGACCUGAGAGGGUGAACGGGCAAACUGGGACUGAGACACGGCCCAGACUCCUACGGGAGGCAGCAGGAGGGGAACUUCGGAAAAGGGCGGAAGGCUGACCGAGGAACGCCGCGGGGGUGGAGAAGGGUUUCGGAUCGUAAAGCUCUGUUGUAAGGGAAGGACGAGUGUAAGAGUGGAAAGUUCACACUGUGACGGUAUCUUACCAGAAAGAGACGGCUAACUACGUG
RNAcentral lists this ribosomal RNA (497 nucleotides) under uncultured bacterium. Its description in RNAcentral is "partial 16S ribosomal RNA". It matches the Rfam family "Bacterial small subunit ribosomal RNA", at positions 28 to 507 of the family's 1533-position model. The record is from RNAcentral.